Molecule: ribosomal RNA, 437 nt
Filed under: uncultured bacterium
Lineage: Bacteria
Description: partial 16S ribosomal RNA
Rfam family: Bacterial small subunit ribosomal RNA
Source: RNAcentral
UGGGGAAUAUUGGACAAUGGGCGAAAGCCUGAUCCAGCCAUGCCGCGUGUGUGAAGAAGGUCUUCGGAUUGUAAAGCACUUUAAGUUGGGAGGAAGGGCAGUAAAUUAAUACUUUGCUGUUUUGACGUUACCGACAGAAUAAGCACCGGCUAACUCUGUGCCAGCAGCCGCGGUAAUACAGAGGGUGCAAGCGUUAAUCGGAAUUACUGGGCGUAAAGCGCGCGUAGGUGGUUCGUUAAGUUGGAUGUGAAAUCCCCGGGCUCAACCUGGGAACUGCAUUCAAAACUGACGAGCUAGAGUAUGGUAGAGGGUGGUGGAAUUUCCUGUGUAGCGGUGAAAUGCGUAGAUAUAGGAAGGAACACCAGUGGCGAAGGCGACCACCUGGACUGAUACUGACACUGAGGUGCGAAAGCGUGGGGGAGCAAAACAGGAUUAGA